Bacillus rossius redtenbacheri is the source of this 638-nucleotide long non-coding RNA. RefSeq lists it as uncharacterized. The transcript has 3 exons. NCBI's taxonomy places the organism in Eukaryota, Metazoa, Arthropoda, Insecta, Phasmatodea, Bacillidae. The record is from RefSeq and is a predicted model, not a curated record.
CUGUUGGAGAUGGUCAGAAGACUGCAGACUACCAUGGCGAGAUGAAUGGGGAAACUUUCUUGAUGUGGUUUGAAGACAUGUUGGUGCAUCUUGAGGAACCCAGUGUCAUCAUAAUGGACAAUGCUUCAUAUCACAGCACCCAGAUGGGCGAGGUGUGUGGAUCACGUGGAGAAGCUAAUUCAAGCAGACUGGGAGAGAGAAGUCCACAUAGACAGCGGCACCAUUCCUCCACUCAUCAUCCACCUCGGCGAGGAUAGUUCAAGUGAAGACAGUGACAGCGAAGAAUUUGAGGUUACGACACAGCAAGUAGAUGGAGACAGUGAAGUACUGGCAGUUCCUCUUGAUGAUUUACCCGGGUGUUCUUAUUGAGGUCUGUAUGUAAUAAACACCUGGGCAACUGUAAGUAUUGGGGUUUGAAACAUUUUUUUUUUCUUUUAUGCAUUCCCAUUAAGUAUGUUGAUUACUGGAACUUUAUGUAUUAACUUUAUAUUACACAUAUUAUGAAAUUAAUAAUAAAUUUCAUUUCUGGAUUCGUAUAGGUGUAUGUGAAACAUUUUAUUUUGUUGUGUGUCUUCAUUUUUCAGUGAACUUACUUGGAAAACAAAAAGCCAGUCCCCAUCCAGGGCCACAAAUAAAUA